Molecule: microRNA, 22 nt
Filed under: Prunus persica (peach)
Lineage: Eukaryota; Viridiplantae; Streptophyta; Magnoliopsida; Rosales; Rosaceae
Description: microRNA miRNA_301
Source: RNAcentral
CUUCCCAAGCCCGCCCAUUCCA